CCACUUACCAUCAGGGAGAUCACCCUGACCCACAAGUGGUUUCCCAGGGCGAGUUUCACUCAUUUGCAUCUGGUUUGCUGGCCCCUGUGAUUCCCCAAAAUGUGGGAGACUCAGCUGGCCUAAUUGGUGGUAGUGGGCGAUCUGUGUCACGCUUUCCCCCU
This 161-nucleotide small nuclear RNA is filed under the name Macaca nemestrina (pig-tailed macaque). Its description in RNAcentral is "U1 spliceosomal RNA (ENSMNEG00000037885.1)". It matches the Rfam family "U1 spliceosomal RNA". From Rfam's summary of the family: U1 is a small nuclear RNA (snRNA) component of the spliceosome (involved in pre-mRNA splicing). Its 5' end forms complementary base pairs with the 5' splice junction, thus defining the 5' donor site of an intron. Lineage: Eukaryota; Metazoa; Chordata; Mammalia; Primates; Cercopithecidae. The record is from RNAcentral.